RNAcentral lists this long non-coding RNA (215 nucleotides) under Elaeis guineensis (African oil palm). RNAcentral's name for it is "long non-coding RNA (EGUI_LNC005273)". Lineage: Eukaryota; Viridiplantae; Streptophyta; Magnoliopsida; Arecales; Arecaceae. The record is from RNAcentral.
UCAUCAUUUCUUUUGAUAUGUAACCCAAUCAUUUAUGCCAUAAUAUUGAAGAACUCUCAUUUAUAAUACCACGUUUCAUUCCAAUAUUGACAUUCAAAAUAAAUAAAGAUUAUAUAAAAGAAGAAUCCAAAUUUAUUUUAUAUAAUCCAUUACAUAUUAUUCUAGUACCAACCAAAAUAAAAAUUUUCAUUAAUUUAAAACUUGAAUUUAUAAAA